UACGGAGGGUGCAAGCGUUAAUCGGAAUUACUGGGCGUAAAGCGUGCGCAGGCGGUUCUAUAAGACAGGUGUGAAAUCCCCGGGCUCAACCUGGGAACUGCAUUUGUGACUGUAGAGCUGGAGUACGGUAGAGGGGGAUGGAAUUCCGCGUGUAGCAGUGAAAUGCGUAGAUAUGCGGAGGAACACCGAUGGCGAAGGCAAUCCCCUGGACCUGUACUGACGCUCAUGCACGAAAGCGUGGGGAGCAAACAGG
Molecule: ribosomal RNA, 253 nt
Filed under: uncultured bacterium
Lineage: Bacteria
Description: partial 16S ribosomal RNA
Rfam family: Bacterial small subunit ribosomal RNA
Source: RNAcentral